AAGGGAAAAAAGGCAGAGAGAAAAAGAAAAGAGAACAAGAGGGGGGAAAAGAAGUAAUAUUUUCCUUGAUAAAAAUGCACAAAAGGGAAGAUGAACUUUGUUCUUUUUCUCUUUCUACUCUCCUCUCUCUUUCUGCUUUUCGCCUCGCAGCACGCCAGCCUAAGCUGAGAGCUGUAAUGUCAUUAAAUUGCAAAUGCUUUUUCAUUUCCGACACACACUGUUUACUUAUCUGGCAAAAACAUAUGUUGGAAGGAAUCCGUUAAAUUCUGCCCAUUGCCUUGGGUAAAAGUGCAAUGGAAACGGACCCAGUGAGCGUCUUCUUUCUUCUUCUUUUAGCACUUCCCUUAUCUACAAGACUGCUUCGCAGCAAACUGGCUAGUUCAAUGAAAAAUGAAGAUACAGCAGGAGAUUAGAGAAGAACAGUGAGCAAAAAAUUCCUGGAGAGAGGGUCACUUCAUUGCAAAUGAUUUCACUUCUCUAGAUCUGCAUAAAUUACUAUUUUUAAGGCAUCUCCAAAGUCUGUAUAUUUUUCUCACUCUGUCAAACAUUUAAUUUCACGCCCCGUGUUCUGAAUAUGCUAAAAUGCAUAUCUCUGAUGCACCUUUAAGCCAGAAAAACGAAUGCAAAAUUGAAGAUAAAAUGAUGUGAUUUGCACUACAAGCCUAUUACUUGAGGUAUUUACAUAUAGUUUACCUCUGCAGUUCUGAGAAUGAUUUAUUAAAAAAAAAAUCGGGAUUAAGCUCAUAUAAAUAUGUAUAAAUCUUUGUUUAGAAAAUAGAUUUUGCAGCUGUUGUGUCAAGAAGUUCUUUAAGAUUCUGUGAAGAAUUUUCCUUUUAAUGUGCCUUUCUAUUUAAAAAACAACAACAAAAAGAAAGAAAAGAAUUUGACAACCUUCUUUGGCAGGAAAACACAUAUUUUUUCCUAAUGCCUUGGGGUUUCCCCCCCAAAGAUUCACUUGAAGUUUCUCCCCCCCUUUUUUUGCCUCUCCCCACCUAUUUUCCUAAUGCCACUUGGGGCCUUUCUGUCUUAUUUGUUUGGACCCUGAAAAUAACCGCUACGGUAUCUCUCGAAUUCAAAGGGAAUAUUCCGGAUUUAUAAAAGUAGAUCAAACCACUGUGGAUUUCUCUUAUUACCACUAAACUAUUGUUGUUGCAUAGGCCCCAGCUAUGGGAAAGAGAGCUCUUCAGAUUUAAAAGAUUCUUGAAACAGAAGCAUCCUUUUUAAAAAGGGAUGGGGAGGGUUGCCCACGAGUUCCCUUUUAUUUUGAAAUUGAUGCUCCUUUAAUCGCCUCAGUUUAGGUGAACAAUGCCUUCCAGAUCUGGCAUCCUUUCACCUGGUGAAACAGAAAAUAAUGACAUUAUGACGUAUUCACCCUCCUUGUAAUAAAUCACAUCCCCACCUCCUAACAGUGAGAGUCUAACUCUUCUCUCUGGCCUUUGCCUACAGAUAUCAAAGCGAUGGGAGAUGGAAAAGCAAGGCUGAGCCAAGGUGCUGCCAGUCUCCAAACUAAAACCAGGAAGAUUUUCUGGUGCUUGCUAGCUCAGCUAGCUCUGGGGAACAGGUACUGGAGGAAAAGCAGCUCUACCUACCACAUCAAACAAGCCAAUAGAUGGCCUCCUGAGACUGCCUGUUUGCAGACUUUUCCCUGAGAAUUUUUUUUUAAAGGGUUUUCACAAGGAGAAGGCAACAGUGACAUUCUGGUAUGUAGAGCUGACAACCAUCUAGAGAACCAAGAAUAGGAUGGGGAAUAUCUUGGACCUUCUUAUUUGCCCAGGCGUUUCUUGAUUGCUCAUUACGUGUAAUUGUUAGACGCAAAUUAUUGCCAGACUGAGGAUGACUCCGUUUCCCCACUCUCUUAAGCCUGGGCCUACUGAAGGCUUCGCCACUGCUACUAAUGAUUGGGCAGAACAGUAUGCCGAGUGUUAUGCAGUUCAGGCCUGACAUGCCAAAGGGAUUCGAUGAUUAAAUCAACUCACGUUGGUUGAUCUCGUUUCUAUGCAAGCCUUAAUGAGGAAAGAUAAGCAAGAAGUGGGGAUAGGCACGAACCAACUAAUACUUUCCAAAUGAGUAGCUUCCUAGAAGUCACAGAGGAUGCCUGGGCUAUGCAGGAUCUCCCCGCUGUCUCUGGAUAAGCACUCUUAAAAUGUCCAGAUACCAUAGCCACCGAACAAUACAGGUUAAGGUUAAGUACUUAAUUCGUUCCGGAGGUCUGUACUUAACCUGAAACUGUUCUUAAC
Non-coding RNA from Podarcis muralis (Common wall lizard), 2237 nucleotides. The record is from RefSeq and is a predicted model, not a curated record. Lineage: Eukaryota; Metazoa; Chordata; Lepidosauria; Squamata; Lacertidae.